RNAcentral lists this transfer RNA (88 nucleotides) under bacterium. RNAcentral's name for it is "tRNA-Ser". It matches the Rfam family "tRNA". From Rfam's summary of the family: Transfer RNA (tRNA) molecules are approximately 80 nucleotides in length. Their secondary structure includes four short double-helical elements and three loops (D, anti-codon, and T loops). The record is from RNAcentral.
GGACAGGUGGCUGAGUGGCCGAAAGCACCGGAUUACUAAUCCGGCGAACCGAGAGGUUCCGUGGGUUCGAAUCCCACCCUGUCUGCCA